Molecule: ribosomal RNA, 1734 nt
Filed under: uncultured organism
Description: 23S ribosomal RNA (partial)
Rfam family: Bacterial large subunit ribosomal RNA
Source: RNAcentral
UAUCACCGAAGCUGUGGAUGACGUUGUCAUGGUAGGGGAGCGUUCUAAGGGCAUUGAAGUCAGACCGGGAGGUCUGUUGGAGCGCUUAGAAGUGAGAAUGCCGGUAUGAGUAGCGAAUAGAAGGGUGAGAAUCCCUUCCGUCGAAAGCCUAAGGGUUCCUGAGGAAGGUUCGUCCGCUCAGGGUUAGUCGGGGCCUAAGCUGAGGCCGCAAGGCGUAGGCGAUGGACAACAGGUUGAAAUUCCUGUACCACCUGCCGCCGUCCGAGUGACGGGGUGACGCAGGAAGGCAAGGCCAGCGCACGGAUGGAAGCGUGCGUUCAAGCCGUAAGGCUGAUGGUGAGGCAAAUCCCGCCAUCUGAUAGCUGAGCGGUGAUGAGGAGGGAACUUAAGUACCGAAGGGCCUGUGCUUACACUGCCAAGAAAAGCCUCUAGCGAGGCGGCCGGUGCCCGUACCCAGAACCAACACAGGUAGGCGAGGAGAGCAUCCUAAGACGCUCGGGAGAACUCUCGUUAAGGAACUCGGCAAAAUGACCCCGUAACUUUGGGAGAAGGGGUGCUCGUCCGGGUGAUGAGCCUGGAUGAGCCGCAGUGAAAAGAUCCAAGCGACUGUUUACCAAAAACACAGGUCUCUGCCAAACCGAAAGGUGACGUAUAGGGGCUGACACCUGCCCGGUGCUGGAAGGUUAAGAGGAGCUGUUAUCCCUUCGGGAGAAGCAGCGAAUCGAAGCCCCAGUAAACGGCGGCCGUAACUAUAACGGUCCUAAGGUAGCGAAAUUCCUUGUCGGGUAAGUUCCGACCCGCACGAAAGGUGCAACGACUUGGAUACUGUCUCAACGAGAGACCCGGUGAAAUUAUAGUACCUGUGAAGAUGCAGGUUACCCGCGACAGGACGGAAAGACCCCAUGGAGCUUUACUGUAGCUUGAUAUUGGGUAUCGGUAUCGUUUGUACAGGAUAGGUAGGAGCCAGAGAAACCGGAGCGCCAGCUUCGGUGGAGGCACUGGUGGGAUACUACCCUGACGAUUCGGAUAUCCUAACCUAGAACCGUGAUCCGGUUCGGAGACAGUGUCAGGUGGGCAGUUUGACUGGGGCGGUCGCCUCCUAAAAGGUAACGGAGGCGCCCAAAGGUUCCCUCAGAAUGGUUGGAAAUCAUUCGCAGAGUGCAAAGGCAUAAGGGAGCUUGACUGCGAGACCUACAAGUCGAGCAGGGACGAAAGUCGGGCUUAGUGAUCCGGUGGCACCGCAUGGAAGGGCCAUCGCUCAACGGAUAAAAGCUACCCUGGGGAUAACAGGCUUAUCUCCCCCAAGAGUCCACAUCGACGGGGAGGUUUGGCACCUCGAUGUCGGCUUAUCGCAUCCUGGGGCUGAAGUUGGUCCCAAGGGUUGGGCUGUUCGCCCAUUAAAGCGGUACACGAGCUGGGUUCAGAACGUCGUGAGACAGUUCGGUCCCUAUCCGUCGCGGGCGCAGGAAAUCUGAGAGGCGCUGUCCUUAGUACGAGAGGACCGGGAUGGACACACCGCUGGUGUACCAGUUGUUCCGCCAGGAGCACAGCUGGGUAGCUAAGUGUGGCCGGGAUAAGUGCUGAAAGCAUCUAAGCAUGAAGCCCCCCUCAAGAUGAGAUUUCCCAUGGCGUGAGGCCAGUAAGACCCCUUAGAGAUGAUGAGGUUGAUAGGUCCGGUGUGGACGCGUGGUGACACGUGAAGCUGACGGAUACUAAUCGGUCGAGGGCUUAUCC